This 477-nucleotide ribosomal RNA is filed under the name Escherichia coli. RNAcentral describes it as "partial 23S ribosomal RNA". It matches the Rfam family "Bacterial large subunit ribosomal RNA", at positions 716 to 1191 of the family's 2925-position model. Lineage: Bacteria; Pseudomonadati; Pseudomonadota; Gammaproteobacteria; Enterobacterales; Enterobacteriaceae. The record is from RNAcentral.
CGAAACCCGGUGAUCUAGCCAUGGGCAGGUUGAAGGUUGGGUAACACUAACUGGAGGACCGAACCGACUAAUGUUGAAAAAUUAGCGGAUGACUUGUGGCUGGGGGUGAAAGGCCAAUCAAACCGGGAGAUAGCUGGUUCUCCCCGAAAGCUAUUUAGGUAGCGCCUCGUGAAUUCAUCUCCGGGGGUAGAGCACUGUUUCGGCAAGGGGGUCAUCCCGACUUACCAACCCGAUGCAAACUGCGAAUACCGGAGAAUGUUAUCACGGGAGACACACGGCGGGUGCUAACGUCCGUCGUGAAGAGGGAAACAACCCAGACCGCCAGCUAAGGUCCCAAAGUCAUGGUUAAGUGGGAAACGAUGUGGGAAGGCCCAGACAGCCAGGAUGUUGGCUUAGAAGCAGCCAUCAUUUAAAGAAAGCGUAAUAGCUCACUGGUCGAGUCGGCCUGCGCGGAAGAUGUAACGGGGCUAAACCAUG